GUGGAGCGAAUCCCAAAAAACCGGUCUCAGUUCGGAUUGGGGUCUGCAACUCGACCCCAUGAAGUCGGAGUCGCUAGUAAUCGCAGAUCAGCAACGCUGCGGUGAAUACGUUCCCGGGCCUUGUACACACCGCCCGUCAAGUCACGAAAGUCGGUAACACCCGAAGCCGGUGGCCCAACUCUUUGAGAGGGAGCCGUCGAAGGUGGGACUGGCGAUUGGGACUAAGUCGUAACAAGGUAGCCGUACCGGAAGGUGCGGCUGGAUCACCUCCUUUCUAAGGAG
RNAcentral lists this ribosomal RNA (282 nucleotides) under Salmonella enterica. RNAcentral describes it as "partial 16S ribosomal RNA". It matches the Rfam family "Bacterial small subunit ribosomal RNA", at positions 1262 to 1533 of the family's 1533-position model. The record is from RNAcentral. Lineage: Bacteria; Pseudomonadati; Pseudomonadota; Gammaproteobacteria; Enterobacterales; Enterobacteriaceae.